UACCAGUGGUUGGCUGCGUCCUGACGAUCCCAGCUGGUAUUCCAAUUGGGAGGAUCUAAAGUUUACAGUCGGAGAUGUUCUAGUAUUCAACUUUCUGACGGGUCACAAUGUGGCCGGAGUGACAAAAGACGGUUACGACAACUGUGACACCAAUAACCCCAAAUUCAUAAACACCACAUCUCCAUUUUUGUUCACUAUCAAGACUCUCGACGAUCUCUUUUUCAUCUGUACCGUCCAGGCCACUGCUCCGCCGGUCAGAAAAUUACCAUCACUAACAUCCAACAAUCGUCAUCAACACCGAGCUCCCCUGAUUCUCCACCUGUUGUUACUGCUCCAUCGCCACCAAACUCCGUCGCCAGUAUUAUGGCCUCCACAUUCACUGUUGCCUUCAUGUUGAUGGAUGUCAUGUUAAUAAUAUAUUAAUUAUAACUCAUUAGUGUUUGGUAUUAAAAACAUGAUUUGCUUAAUUAGCGCAAAAAGUUGACGAGGUUCUGUCAACGACGCUAUUUAUUCAGUAUUGUAUUGAGAUUUUAUUUUUAAUAUCAAAGUUAUUCAACGACGCUAUUUAUUCA
Long non-coding RNA from Cucumis sativus (cucumber), 572 nucleotides. RefSeq lists it as uncharacterized. The record is from RefSeq and is a predicted model, not a curated record. The transcript is spliced from 2 exons. NCBI's taxonomy places the organism in Eukaryota, Viridiplantae, Streptophyta, Magnoliopsida, Cucurbitales, Cucurbitaceae.